AGUGGCGAACGGGUGCGUAACACGUGAACAAUUUACCUCGAAGUGGGGAAUAGCUCGCCGAAAGGCGAAUUAAUACCGCAUGUGGUGGUUUCUCGCAUGAGAGACUAACUAAAGUCAGGGAUCUCGCGCAAGCGGGACCUGACGCUUUGAGAGGAGUUCGCGGCCUAUCAGCUAGUUGGCGAGGUAACGGCUCACCAAGGCUAAGACGGGUAGCUGGUCUGAGAGGACGAUCAGCCACACUGGAACUGAGACACGGUCCAGACACC
Molecule: ribosomal RNA, 266 nt
Filed under: uncultured bacterium
Lineage: Bacteria
Description: partial 16S ribosomal RNA
Rfam family: Bacterial small subunit ribosomal RNA
Source: RNAcentral